AAAGAAAAGAAAAGAAAAAGUGAAAAAAAGAAAAAGAAAAAGAAGAAGAGGACGGAAAUGAAGCCCUAUAUGCUGCUCCUCCGGUCUCAUGUAGUCAUGACCCUCUGCUUCUGUAAUCAAAUAUCAGAUUAGAAAGACACACAGAGUGUGUGUUUCUGUUUCUGUUUCAGUUUCAGUCUGUGCUUGCGUUGCGUUGGGUUUGGGGAGACAAAGAAAGAAAAUCGUAGAGAAAAAAUGUCGAAGAAGUUGGCGACGAGAAGGGAGCUGUUGGAGCGUUGGAGAGGCAUUGAGGAAGACGAAGACGACGAUCGUGAUCAUGAUCACGACCCCUCCCAAAUUCGCCGUCUUCACCAACUUAAGGAGCAAUGGUUUGCAGAUGCGUUUAAUUUCUUAAUUUGUUUGCCGAAAGAAACUCAUAUCUGGUGUGGCACUGGGGAUUUAAUGGGUCCACUUUUGGAGACAUUCUACAAUUACUUCAAAGACGAGCGUCCUAAUUCUCCUCUCAAGCUUUUAUGGAAGAGAAUCUCCGAAGAAAUGCGGCAGUGCAUCCAGUGCGUCUCUCAGCAACACCAAGCCCUAGAGAUGUACAAUGAGCAGUAUGAGUUGAGUUCAGUAGGUCCACUUCUUGAUGUGUUACGGAGUCUUAAUGAGGAAAGGGUGACUCAGCACUUGAGAGAGAUCACUGCAAGAAUAGCACGGGAAGAGUAUGAUCCAGCUCGUGAUAAUGCUGAAGUUAUUAGUGUCAUGUAUGAGGUUCUGAUGUUCCCUGCCCUGUUGGAUGAUCAGUCAUUGUUUACUGAAUUUGAAACGUUUAUUGAAGCUAUUGAUAAUAAGCAUGAACUGGCUCUGGAUGGACAGCAACAGUUUCCGGGUGUUUAUGCAUUAUUUUUUUUCAAGAGAAGAGUGCGCUCUGUUGGUCAUCGUCUUGCUGGAUCUAUGGGAAAACUGAGGAGAGUAACAGAAUUGGAACCUUUGCAGCCUUUGCUAAAGAAAUUUAUAUGCUUUUUGGAGAACGAAGUUUUGCCAUCGACUCUCGGGACUUCAAGGUCUAGAGUGAAGCUGGACCGUGUAUCCAUAUGGCUUGGAAUCAAAUCAUUGCUUGGGUUCUUAGAACCUCCAGCUUUCGAGGAAGGGAUAUUGGAGCGCUAUCCCAUUUUUCUUGACCUUGUGCUCAAUCAUAUCAGCAGUGAUUCAAUUGAAUUUUCUCAUGCGGUUACCUGCUUGAGACUGCUGUUUGAAAUGCUUGGUUGUAAGCUUUGGUUGAGGUCUACAUUGUCUGCAAGUGUGAUGUGCAACACUCUAUUGGGUCAGUGUUUUCAUACUCGAAACGAGAAAAGCCAUAAAGACAUUUUUGAUCUUUUUCAGCCAUUUCUGCAGUCUCUUGAAGCUUUGCAAGAUGGGGAACAUGAAAAGCAACGGAGGCAUUUUCUAUAUUUUCUCCUCCAUCAAGUGCCAGUCAGCGGUAACUUUAGUGUUCUAACAAGAAAAAAGGCUUGCCAGAUAGCACUUCUAAUUAUACACAGAGGUUAUAAGAUGAACCCGCCAUGCCCACCCUUUGAAUGUGCACAUAUGUGGGGCCCUUCUCUAGUGUCAUCCCUGAAGGAUUCUUCACUCCACAGUUCUCUAAGGCAACCUGCUUUUGAUCUUAUACAAACCAUUAUAGUGUCUGAUGCUGCUGCCCUUAUAACCUCAGUGUUGAAUAGCUGCACCCCUUGGAGUAUUGAUAGAAGCAUGUCUAAUGAUUUGAAUGAUGCCGAACCAUUUGUUCCAGAUGUUGAAGAGGAGGACAAUAGUUCUUGGAGUGAAUUUGGUGCACUGAGUAAAAUUAGUUCUCGGGAAUUUAGGGAGUGGAUGUGCAUACCCAUGUUAUGGAUUGAUGUUCUAGUUGAAAUUGAUCCUUCAGUCUUUCCAGUAUCAUUUUCCAAGGCUGUUUUCUGGGCCCGAUCUCGUUUUCCAAUGGUUGAACCCGAAAGUAGUGAAGAAAUAGCACUUCCAGUGAGAACUUGGCUUUCGUCCUCUGCUACAGUGAUCUCCAAUUCAUUUGGUUGGAAAAUUCCAACUGGUUCUGAUGAUGGUGGAGAGGGAAAGGAGUCAAAAAACUCUGUAAAAGUAUCAUCAAUGUGUCUUCCUUUAGUAAGAACAUUCAAUAGGUUAACUGCACACUUUGUUGUUCAAGUGGGGCAAGGAGAACUACGGAAGCAGUGGACUUGGGAACCAAGGAUGGGUGAAAGCUUGAUCCUUUCACUCAUUGAUCCUAAUGAUAAUGUGAGGCAGCUUGGGAAGUGUAUCUUGGAACAAGUUUCCAAUACACGGGGUCUUUCUUGCGGCUUGAAGUUUCUUUGUUCUAAUGGUUAUUCUUUGUCUGCCAUUUUUUUGGGCUUGAGACAUUCUUGUAAACUGGUUCUACUGGAUUGUGUUUUAGUAAAGUUUCAGAGUUUACAACAUUUUUUCUUCGUUCUAUGCAAAUUGCUCAAAGAAGGGGAUUUAUCGGCCCUAGAUAUGCCAGAAAAUUCAUCUGAUCGUUCAAAUAUCGCAAGGUUCUCUUCCCAAGGUGGAUUUUUGAGGCAGCCUGUUUUUGAUUCAUUGCCUGUGAGUGUCAAUGAGCAUUCUUCAAAUGUUGACUCAAAAUCACAGGAAAAGUUCAUUUACUUACUAUCAGAAAUUGCAUGGCCUCCUAUUAAGAGGUGCUUGUUAGAAGGGAAAGCAUUUAUUGAUCACAGUUUUUGUCAGAUGACUUGUGUCCGCUUACUGGAGAUCCUCCCUGUUAUUUUUGAAAUAAUUUGCCCAUCAUUUGGUAAGAAGCUUGGGGAUUCCAGAAUGUUGGUGGAAAGUUUAUAUGACUUCUCAUGGCUAAAUUACCUGAUGGAUUGGGGGAACUCAUCACUUAAGGUCAUAAUCGUGUAUUGGAAACGGACAGUUACUACUUUGCUGACUUUCCUCAGAGGUUCACAUAGUGACACUGCUACAAUGACAAUCAAGGCCAUUGAAAAUCUAAUAUCACGUGAUAACUUUGCUACGGAUGAAUUGACAGAACAAGUUUCGCGCCUUUCUGUUUCAUUAUCUAAGGAGGCAUCUUGUAACAUUGAAAACACCGCCUUUAGGUCAAGAUCUUUAUUUCCUGAAACCUUGUCUUUUGAGAAAAAGAGUUUAGUUUCAGAUGUGCAGCCUCUUUCUGUGGAUGAUAGUGAUGUGGAGAUCCUGGACUCACUAACGGGAUCUUACAAAAAGGAUAAAGAAAAUUUGGUUGUUCUUUCUGACAGUGAAACAGAGGAAUCAACAUCACCCAAUGAGGCCAUUCUAUCUGAUACUGAGACAGGUCACUGCAUUUUGGAUGGCAAGCCUCUGGUUCCUGGGAGCGCACCACAUUCUGACCCUAAAACGGAGAAGGUUGCUGGGACUGGCGCUUCUAUGGAUUUGUUGGAAUCUUUUCAGCAAAAAGAUGCUACUGAUUGUUUGGUUGCUUCUAAGAAUAAGGACAUUGACGAAUUAAAAGGCAAACCAACACCUGCUUCUCUCCUAAAAUCAAAAGGGGUAGACAAUAAGAAGAAAACAGAAUACCCCAAACACAAUGAAAAUAAUUCUGUUUUGUCCCAGAAUAGAAUUAAUUUGAAGAACUCAGAUGAAGCUGUCAGUUCCAAUAAAAUGGUUCUAAAUUGCAACAGAAUUAUUUCUAAGACAAGUGAUACUGUUUUGAAAGAGAUUGUACGUGAUAGUGAAGAUGAUCCAUUUGAGUUGGCACUAAAAUCUGCAAGAAUUCAGCAGUCAGUUUUGUCAAAGUCCACUUCUCUUCCUAAACGGCAAGUUAUUCAACUUAAAUCACCAUUUGAAAGUAGAUUUGGCCGUUUACAUAGACUAGAGGCCGGAGUGAAAAGGUUCAAGCCACCGAGACUUGAUGACUGGUAUAGACCCAUUUUGGAACUUGAUUACUUUGCAACUGUUGGAUUAGCAUCAGCAAGUGAAGAUGGGACUCGAACUGUUAGCAAAUUAAAGGAGGUUCCUGUGUGUUUUCAAUCACCUGAACAGUAUAUGGAGAUUUUUCGGCCAUUGGUUUUGGAGGAGUUUAAAGCACAAUUAAAUAGUUCCUUUCUGGAAAUGUCUUCGUGGGAAGAGAUGUAUGUUGGCAGUCUAUCAGUGAUGUCGGUUGAGAGAGUUGAUGAUUUUCAUCUUGUGCGAUUUAUUUAUGAUGACAAUGAUUCUGCAGCUUCUAGAACCUUUUCAGAAAAUGACCUUGUUUUGUUAACGAAGGAGCCUUUGCAAAAAUCUUCCCAUGAUAUUCAUAUGAUUGGAAAGGUGGAAAGGCGUGAAAGAGACAAUAAGAGAAGGUUAACCAUAUUAGUUAUCAGGUUCUAUCUUCAAAAUGGUUCUUCACGUUCAAAUAAAGCUAGAAAGAACCUCAUUGAUCGUAGUAAAUGGCAUGCAUGUCGCGUAAUGAGCAUUACACCUCAACUUAGAGAGUUUCAGGCACUAUCAUCAAUUAAUGGCAUUCCUAUAUUUCCAGUGAUUUUAAAUCCUGUCAAUGAUUCUCUUGGUAAUCAUGUAUCUAAGGAAGUGAAUCUGGGUAAGCUGGCCCAACCCUUGCAGCAAAUACUGAAAUCAUCCUUCAAUGACAGUCAACUUCAAGCUAUCAGUGUUGCUGUUGGAUCACCUAAGUUGAAGAAAGAUUUUGAAUUAUCUCUUAUUCAGGGUCCUCCAGGUACUGGCAAGACGCGUACUAUUUUGGCCAUUGUCAGUGGUUUGCUUGCUUCACCUUUACAGAGGACAGGUAAUGCAAAAAAUACUCUUGGUGGUAGUUUGAAAACACAUAGUAAGCCAUUCUGGUCAAGACCACAGAUUAGUGAGACUGCUGCAAUAGCAAGGGCAUGGCAAGAUGCAGCCUUGGCCAGACAACUGCAUGAGGAUGUUCAAAGGAAUUCUAACUCCAUGGAAAGUUCUGCAAGAGGAAGGGUACUUAUCUGUGCUCAGUCAAAUGCCGCGGUUGAUGAGCUGGUAUCGAGAAUUUCUAGUCAAGGCCUUUAUGGCAGCGAUGGAAAGAUGUACAAGCCAUAUCUUGUAAGGGUAGGGAAUGUGAAAACAGUCCAUCCAAAUUCACUACCAUUCUUUAUUGAUACACUUGUUGACCAACGUUUGGUGGAAGAGAGGAUGAAUGGUUGCAAUGAAAAGAAUGAUUUAAGUGUGGAAUCUUCGAUGGCACUACGUUCUAAUCUUGAGAAAUUAGUGGAUCGUAUCAGGUUCUAUGAAGCUAAGCGUGCUAAUUUAAGGGAUGGAAAUGUUGAUCUUAAGAAUUCUUUGGAAGAUGGUACUCAUAAGGGUGAUGAUGGGAAAGAAAUGUCUGAUGCAGAAAUAGAGUCACAGCUAAGAAAACUUUAUGAACAAAAGAAGCAAAUUUAUAAAGAUCUUAGCAAUGUUCAGUCACAGGAGAAGAAAGCUAAUGAAGAAACCAGAGCUCUUAGACAUAAGCUUCGGAAGUCUAUAUUACGGGAAGCUGAAAUUGUGGUCACUACAUUAAGUGGUUGUGGUGGAGACCUCUAUGGAGUGUGUUCUGAAUCUAUGUCAAAUAUUAAAUUUGGCAGUCCAUCUGAGCGUACACUUUUUGAUGCCAUCGUGAUUGAUGAAGCUGCACAAGCUUUGGAACCUGCUACUCUGAUUCCUCUUCAGCUUUUAAAGUCAAGUGGGACCAAAUGUAUUAUGGUUGGCGACCCAAAGCAACUUCCUGCAACAGUUCUUUCUAGUGUUGCAAGUAAAUUCCUGUAUGAAUGCAGCAUGUUUGAGCGAUUACAAAGGGCUGGUCAUCCUGUCAUUAUGCUGACCGAACAGUAUAGGAUGCACCCAGAAAUAUGUAGGUUUCCUUCUCUGCAUUUUUAUGACAGAAAGUUGCUAAAUGGUGAUAAAAUGUCUAGCAAGUCAGCUCCAUUUCAUGAAAUUGAGGGCCUUGGACCAUAUGUCUUCUAUGACAUUGUUGAUGGACAAGAGCAUCGCGGUAAGAAUUCUGGUGCAUUGUCCCUUUACAAUGAGCAUGAGGCUGAUGCUGCAGUUGAAGUACUUAGGUUUUUCAAGAAAAGGUACCCAUCUGAAUUUGUAGGUGGAAGAAUUGGUAUCAUAACUCCAUACAAGUCUCAACUAUCACUUUUACGAUCUCGUUUUUCAAGUGCAUUUGGAUCUUCUGUUAUAGAUGACAUGGAAUUUAAUACUGUCGAUGGUUUUCAAGGUCGGGAGGUUGAUAUACUCAUACUUUCCACUGUUAGAGCAGGGGAUCCUAGCACUUCUGCACUUGGGAUCAACUCAAGCAGUAUUGGGUUUGUUGCUGAUGUACGAAGGAUGAAUGUUGCUUUGACAAGAGCCAAACUCUCGCUCUGGAUCUUGGGUAAUGCCAGAACUUUGCAGACAAACCAUAACUGGGCUGCUCUUAUAAAGAAUGCUAAAGAGAGAAAUUUGGUUAUUUCAGUUAAAACACCUUACAAGUCCAUGUUUAAAACAGCCUUUUGUAAAAAUGCUGCUCCAAGAAUUCCGGACAAGCAUUCAAGACAGCAUAAGCAUGUUGAAAAGGCUAAAGAUGUUAGCCAGCAUGCAAAACAAAAUGAGAGCAUUGCAAAGCAAACCAUUGAAAGGAAAAUGAAAUAUGUAGGCUGUGCUGAUCACAGUCAAAAAAGGGGUAUAGGAGAUGAAAAAGAUUUUCUAGCUAUUAGAGAAAAUAUCCCAAGUACUGGAAGAAGUGCCAGAGAUGAAUGCAAAUUCCCUGUGAAGACUGAUUCUUCUUCUUCAGUUACAAAUGGUAGCAACAGAACCACUGAGGAUGUCAAGUGUGCAAUCUCAGGGAAACAAGUUAGAGAUGGUGGAAGAAAGGGCAAAGAGAGUAGUGAAAAGAAAGUCAGUUUGGGGAAUACACAUAUAAGCAAAAGAAAAGAUAAAUUUGAAAAUUAUAGGAGUAAUUUGGAUCCCUCUGAAUGCGAAUCGGGUGAUAGCCAGAACCUUUUGAAAUCACAAGCGUCAAAAAGACUGAAGAAAUCUUCUGAUGGUGAUAGAAGCCAGAAAAAUCAGGAAGUUGCAAUUCCCUUACCUGAAAGCAGCCUUAAGGAGAGGUAUGCUAAUGAUGGAGAUAAAGUGCCCAGUCAAACUGGCACUGCUGAGGAUUUGAUUGCAAAAAGGAAAAAACAACGUGAUGCUGUUGAUGCUAUUCUUUACUCUUCUCUGAUAUCUUCAAAGAAGUCUGAAACAUCAAUGAAACCUUUGCCUGCCAAAAGACCUUUCUCAUCAUCAUCAAAUGUAAGUGGUGGCAUAAAGCCAUCCAAAACAAUAAAAGGUAUGGAAGUUCCAUCAGCAUCUUCAACUAGUGCAUCACGAGAUCAGAUCCAUCAACAUCGCAGUAAGAGGGACAAAUCUGUGGGCUCCCACGACGGGGGUGAAGCCUGAUUCUGCUUGAAGUCAUUUAAAUAUCUGGUUCAAAAAGUGAAGCUUUGCUAUCAUUGCUGACUUUCCAGGAACUGGAAAGGAGAGUUUAGGCUGGCUUGGUGCACCAACAGUAAGGGAUAAAGCAGCAUGCUUCUGCUAGUGAUGGCUGGGCAGCAGGUUACUUUUCGACAUUUUGCAUGCAAAGAUUCUGAAGAAACAUUUUUGGAACUCUUGGCCCUCAAGUUGCAAUUGGGUCCUGAAGUGCCUUGCAUUAUCCAGAUAAUUGACCUCUAAACCUGCUGCCAAUUUCAGGAAUCCUUUUUGACCAUUUCCUGGAGGUCCAUAUAAAAUUCCUUGACAUAGUCUGUCAAUGGGUGGAGCCCAUAAUCGUUACCAUAUUGUCCAUUGCGGAUGCCUGCUUUCACUGUAGUGUAUUAACGUCAUUCAGAUUCAUGCUUGAAGUGAAGAUAGUCACAUAGUGGAUUCUAUGAUCUCCAUUACUGUUAGCAUCAUCGCUCCUGAGCCUUUUGUUGGCCAUUAAACUGUGCAAAGACAACACAAAGUUUGUAUAGUCAAUAGAGAGUAGAGGAAGAAAAUUGCCGGUUAAUUCCAAUGCUUAGAAGCGUUGUGCGUUACAGGACCUAGGAUAUGCUCAAGCAUAUAGCAGGAAGAAGUAAAAGGUUCACUGGAAAUAUUUUGAAUGACAUUCGAGUGCAAAGAAAAUUCAUUUUAUUAGUAACAACUUACGGUAAUUGUUAUGAGAGGUAGCUAUACUUGUAUUCUGACUCGUUCUCCUCUCUCUCUCUCUCUGUGAUGCUUUCACAGAAAAAAAAAAAAAAAAAAAUAGAGAAGAUAUGUAUGAAAUACAACUUAAUAUUUUUAUUUUAUUUUUGAAGAAUUUAUAUAUUUGACUAUCAGGACUUGAUGUCA
RNA transcript from Quercus robur (English oak), 8316 nucleotides. It is a transcript of the gene named helicase SEN1, with no coding region annotated. The transcript has 23 exons. NCBI's taxonomy places the organism in Eukaryota, Viridiplantae, Streptophyta, Magnoliopsida, Fagales, Fagaceae. The record is from RefSeq and is a predicted model, not a curated record.